CAUCAUCACCAUCAUCCUGAUUAGUCUUCGGGCAUUUGGUGCUGGAAGACAAAGAUCUUCCGGAUAAGUGCGAAAGUAAUCAGAAAGCCCUCGGAAGAUCUCUUCCGGGGGCUUUUUU
Molecule: small RNA, 118 nt
Filed under: Frischella perrara
Lineage: Bacteria; Pseudomonadati; Pseudomonadota; Gammaproteobacteria; Orbales; Orbaceae
Description: Histidine operon leader
Rfam family: Histidine operon leader
About the family: At least 6 amino acid operons are known to be regulated by attenuation. In each a leader sequence of 150-200 bp is found upstream of the first gene in the operon.
Source: RNAcentral